RNAcentral lists this ribosomal RNA (398 nucleotides) under Aedes alboannulatus. RNAcentral describes it as "eukaryotic LSU rRNA". The stretch from base 1 to 129 matches the Rfam family "5.8S ribosomal RNA", at positions 24 to 154 of the family's 154-position model. The record is from RNAcentral. Lineage: Eukaryota; Metazoa; Arthropoda; Insecta; Diptera; Culicidae.
GCUCGUGGAUCGAUGAAGACCGCAGCUAAAUGCGCGUCAGAAUGUGAACUGCAGGACACAUGAACACCGACAAGUUGAACGCAUAUUGCGCACCGUACAACAGUACGAUGUACACAUUUUUGAGUGCCUAUAUUUAUCCAUUCAACUGUACGUGCAUGCGCGUCCCGCCGGCCGAACGGCUGGCGCGAGGACAGUCGCACGCCGUACGCGCAGUGACGUUUUCCCGGCCCGGCCCGGUAGAACGUUCAAGAUAGUCAGGCGCGCCCCCACCCGGGCGUGGUUGAUGAAUACAUGCCCUAGACCAACGCGCUUAAUUAUGUUGUAUUUCAUCGGCACACCCAUAUACCUAUACCCCAGUAGGCCUCAAAUAAUGUGUGACUACCCCCUAAAUUUAAGCA